This 501-nucleotide ribosomal RNA is filed under the name uncultured bacterium. RNAcentral's name for it is "partial 16S ribosomal RNA". It matches the Rfam family "Bacterial small subunit ribosomal RNA", at positions 29 to 523 of the family's 1533-position model. The record is from RNAcentral.
AUUGAACGCUGGCGGCAUGCCUUACACAUGCAAGUCGAACGGCAGCACGGGUGCUUGCACCUGGUGGCGAGUGGCGAACGGGUGAGUAAUACAUCGGAACGUACCUUAUCGUGGGGGAUAACGCAGCGAAAGCUGUGCUAAUACCGCAUACGCCCUGAGGGGGAAAGCGGGGGAUCGCAAGACCUCGCGCGAUUAGAGCGGCCGAUGCCUGAUUAGCUAGUUGGUGGGGUAAAAGCCCACCAAGGCGACGAUCAGUAGCUGGGCUGAGAGGACGAUCAGCCAGACUGGGACUGAGACACGGCCAAGACUCCUACGGGAGGCAGCAGUGGGGAAUUUUGGACAAUGGGGGCAACCCUGAUCCAGCAAUGCCGCGUGAGUGAAGAAGGCCUUCGGGUUGUAAAGCUCUUUUGUCAGGGAAGAAACACCGGCUCUAACACAGUCCGGGAAUGACGGUACCUGAAGAAUAAGCACCGGCUAACUACGUGCCAGCCGCCGCGGUAA